GGGGUGGGAGUGGGGAAGAAGUAUUUCCAAGCUAAGCCCUACAUGUAGGAGUUAGCUAAACAGACAUGGGGAAGGACAGAGUCCCUGCAGAAGGAACAGCCUGAGCAAACACUAAGGGGUAAAAGCAAACCUGUGAGUUUAGAGAACUGCAGCACUUUCAACGUGGCAGGAACACCAGGUUCAAGGGGCCCAGGAGUAGAAAGUGGAAAAGCAGAAGUAAUCAAUGAUUCAGUAACAACAGGAGACAUGUUGAGAUAUGUUUACUCAAUUCUGAGGGCAGUGAGAAUUAUAGAAGGAUUUCAACUAAUGGGCAACAUUGUUGGAUAUGUGUUUUUGAAAAAUCGCUCUGGCUGCUGUGUGAAAUAUCCCUAAUCCAGGCCAGGAAGUGCAGCCCUGUCAGAUGCCAGUAUCUUGGCAUCUAAUGCUCAGCAUCUACACAGUUGCUGGGGAGGGAAUGAUGUGCGGACCCUGCUCUCAGGACUGUCUGGAGAACAGGGUCAGACAGCGCUCCUUCUGUUUGAGGAAGUCAUAUCCAAAUUAUGUUACCAGUGAGUACAGGAGGGCCAUAGGAUGAUUGCCUGAGAGUUAACUAGGAAAGGUAAGAAAAAAGAUCCAAGGUUCAGGUCAGGGGAGAGGCCUUUAUAUCUAUGACAAUCUGAUUGCUGGCUAUGCUACCCUGCAUCCUCUCAUAAGCAGCAUCCCUACCUUCUUCCAGCUUUUCUGCGGGGGUCUGAGGAAGGGUGCAUUGUGAAUGAAGGUCUAUCUAAGACAGCAUUAUCCAACAGAACUUUCUGUGAUGACAAAAAUGUUCUCUGUCUGCACAUUUCCAACGUGGUAGCCAUUAGCUACAUGAGACUACUGCAUACUUGAAACGUGAGCCUGCAAUUAAGAAACUGAAUUUUUAACUUUAUUUUAAUUAAUUUAAACUUUAAUUUAAACAGCCCCAUGUGGCUAGUGGCUAUCAUAUUAGCACAAAUCUAAGAUGCGAGAUCUCCUUGAAGACAGUCCUAUCACAUGCUGAGCAUGUAGGUGGUUCUUAUAAGCAAUUUUUGUUAUGCCUGGAGGCAGUGUGGUUUAGGGGAAGACUUUGGACAUUGGCAUAGUCAGAUUGAAUUUAAAUCCCAUCUGUGCCACUGUAUUGGUCAGGCUAGGCUUUACUACUUUAACAUGCGUCACCCACAUUUCAGCAGUUUCACAUAAUAAAAAUUUAUUUAUUUAUUUAUUUUGCUUAUUUCACAGUUCAAAGAAUGUUGGGAGGGAUCUCUACUUCACAUAGUCACCCAGGGACCCAAGUUCCUUCGUUCUUGUGGCUCUGUCCUCUUCUAAGCCCUUGAAAUUUUUUCCAUUCAGCUAGUGGAUGGAGAAAGAAAGAACAUGCUAAAUUGCCCUAGAUGUUUUUUAUGGGACUGGCCUAUAUUACUUUGGCUAGAACUUAGUCAGACGGCCAAACCUAACUGCAAGAGAACCUGGGAAAGUAAUCUAACUGUAUCUACAGAAAAGAGGAACUGAAUUUGAUUAGCAUCUAGUCAGUCUCUGCCACAAGUAACUACUACCUUAGGUCUUAGUUUUCUUAUCUGUAAAAUGGAACCAACAUGAGAACCGGUGAAAGCUAAAUGAAGUAAAGUAUGUGGAAAAUGAUGAAUCCAGCUGGGAUUCAUGACCAUGACUCUUUUCUCUCAGCUUGGAUCUCAUCACAGCUAUUGAGCAUCAUCUCUGCUGACAGAAAAAAAAAAAAAAAAAA
This 1741-nucleotide long non-coding RNA is filed under the name Macaca fascicularis (crab-eating macaque). Its description in RNAcentral is "lncRNA (ENSMFAG00000060295.1)". Lineage: Eukaryota; Metazoa; Chordata; Mammalia; Primates; Cercopithecidae. The record is from RNAcentral.